CGGAGGGGUCGCAUAGUCGGCCUAGUGCGGCGGUUUGCUAAACCGCUAUACCCGCAAGGGUAUCGAGGGUUCGAAUCCCUCCCCCUCCGCCC
This 92-nucleotide transfer RNA is filed under the name Chloroflexota bacterium. Its description in RNAcentral is "tRNA-Ser". It matches the Rfam family "tRNA". Rfam says of the family: Transfer RNA (tRNA) molecules are approximately 80 nucleotides in length. Their secondary structure includes four short double-helical elements and three loops (D, anti-codon, and T loops). Lineage: Bacteria; Bacillati; Chloroflexota. The record is from RNAcentral.